GGGGGUGAUUGGUCUCGACAGCGGCUGUCGAGUGAGGUGAAGCGGGCCGAGGAAGGCAACGAUGAUCUCGAAAACCAUCCGUUGCAAAAAAUCAAGCGCCGACAACAGUCAGCGCGAGUUCGCCCUCGCCGCCUGAGCGAGUAGCGACUCCGUCAGGCCGGGUGUGUCUCCGACCCGGGUCCUGGCGUCGACAAGGGGACUCACCAAUGGAUCCGGUCGCGGGAUCCUGCGGGACAACUCACAGCGACUGGGCCUGUCGCACCGGCACGUUCGCAUGACCGGUGGGGCCGAGUAGGGACGACGCGGACUGCGCCCGGAGAAGCCCUCACAACGCAACGUUGGACGCGGGUUCGAUUCCCGCCACCUCCAC
Molecule: transfer-messenger RNA, 370 nt
Filed under: Nakamurella endophytica
Lineage: Bacteria; Bacillati; Actinomycetota; Actinomycetes; Nakamurellales; Nakamurellaceae
Rfam family: transfer-messenger RNA
About the family: Bacterial tmRNA, also known as 10Sa RNA or SsrA, is named for its dual tRNA and mRNA-like properties. Its role is to liberate the mRNA from a stalled ribosome. To accomplish this part of the tmRNA is used as a reading frame that ends in a translation stop signal.
Source: RNAcentral